Molecule: ribosomal RNA, 440 nt
Filed under: uncultured bacterium
Lineage: Bacteria
Description: partial 16S ribosomal RNA
Rfam family: Bacterial small subunit ribosomal RNA
Source: RNAcentral
CCUACGGGUGGCAGCAGUAGGGAAUAUUGCUCAAUGGGGGAAACCCUGAAGCAGCAACGCCGCGUGGAGGAUGACGGUUUUAGGAUUGUAAACUCCUUUUGUUAGGGAAGAUUAUGACGGUAUCUAAAGAAUAAGCACCGGCUAACUCCGUGCCAGCAGCCGCGGGAAUACGGAGGGUGAAAGCGUUACUCGGACUCACUGGGCGUAAAGAGGGCGUAGGGGGGGUAAUAAGUCAGAUGUGACAUCCUGUAACUUAAAUACAGAACUGCAUUUGAAACUGGUACUCUAGAGUGUGGGAGAGGUAGGUGGAAUUCUUUGUGUAGGGGUAAAAUCCGUAGAGAUCAAGAGGAAUACUCAUUGUGAAGGCGACCUGCUGGAACAUUACUGACGCUGAUGCACGAAAGCGUGGGGAGCAAACAGGAUUAGAUACCCCAGUAGUC